GAAAGUUAAAAGUGGGUCCCAUGGCAGUUUAGAAAAGAAAGUGGCAUUUCUUUAAAAAAAUUACAUUUUCAUCGUAAAGAAUAUAAUCUUCUCUUACUCAAAACUGUUAUGAAAUGGUUUUGUACAACACUGAACACAUACUUAUAGCCCGCAAAUCACUCAUAUCAAUGGAUUAAGAGUUUUCGUUAUCAAAUAGAGGUGAGUAUAAUUCCAUUCCACUAGAAAAACUCCCCUCUCAAAGAAAUUUUGAAUCUCCUUUGUUUUUUUUUUUUUUGGAAUCACCUUUGUUACCUGAAGUUUAUGUUUG
RNAcentral lists this long non-coding RNA (307 nucleotides) under Capsella rubella. Its description in RNAcentral is "long non-coding RNA (CRUB_LNC002588)". Lineage: Eukaryota; Viridiplantae; Streptophyta; Magnoliopsida; Brassicales; Brassicaceae. The record is from RNAcentral.